UAAUUCUUGGUGUUUAAAGAUUUAAGGUAAAUACACUAAAUAGUAACCAUCUUUAGUGGUUAAACCUUAUUUAGGUAACAAUACUGCGGGAUUGUUCCCAUGGGAAAAUGACUAAU
RNAcentral lists this ribosomal RNA (116 nucleotides) under Sciaphila thaidanica. Lineage: Eukaryota; Viridiplantae; Streptophyta; Magnoliopsida; Pandanales; Triuridaceae. The record is from RNAcentral.